Molecule: long non-coding RNA, 616 nt
Filed under: Phascolarctos cinereus (koala)
Lineage: Eukaryota; Metazoa; Chordata; Mammalia; Diprotodontia; Phascolarctidae
Description: lncRNA (ENSPCIG00000031146.1)
Source: RNAcentral
AAAUGCCAGUUGACUGACUUAUGUGAUGAUGUCCUAUUUACCUAUUGUUAUACCCUUGUUUUUCCUUGAUAGGAAAUGUUAUAGUAACAUGUCUAGUUAACUAAGGGACCCUGCAUGACUAUGGAUGGAAUGCCACAAGCCCUUAUGCCACCAAGAGGGCUCCUGAUUGGAUGAACCUGGGAUUGUUGCACAGGAAGUUGAUCUCCAUCCAGAGGAGCCAGGUGGGAGAAUCCCGAAUACUGCCUGUAACCAGACAGCUUUGUUCAGCCAUCCCUGAGUGCCAGAAUCAAGAAAGCUCACAUGUGAGGUGCUGACCAGACCAAGAACUAGUUAUUUUGAGAGCCAAAGUCCUGGGCAGGAGGCACCUCCUUAGGAGGAAGGAGAGGGCAUUAGUUGGAUGCUUCAGACAAGCGGCAGAGAAUCCAUUCUAUCAUUGGCCUAUUCCCCAUGGGAUGUGCUCCUGCUAAAGGCCUUUUACGAGCAUGGUUGUCUCAGCUUCCAGGAAUCUCCGAAACCUCUAGAUUAUGAGCUCACAGUUGGCUUGUGGCAGGUAAGAGUCUCUUUGAGUUUCAAGGGAUUCUAGGGCAGCAGAAAUGCGGGGGCGGGGGGGUCACAA